AGUGAACGCUGGCGGUAGGCCUAACACAUGCAAGUCGAACGGCAGCACAGUAAGAGCUUGCUCUUACGGGUGGCGAGUGGCAGACGGGUGAGGAAUACAUCGGAAUCUACUUUUUCGUGGGGGAUAACGUAGGGAAACUUACGCUAAUACCGCAUACGACCUACGGGUGAAAGCAGUGGAUCUUCGGACCUUGCGCGAUUGAAUGAGCCGAUGUCGGAUUAGCUAGUUGGCGGGGUAAAGGCCAACCAAGGCGACGAACCGUAGCUGGUCUGAGAGGAUGAUCAGCGACACUGGGACUGAGAGACGGGCCAGACUCCUACGGGAGGCAGCCGUAGGGAAUAUUGGACAAUGGGAGCAAGCCUGAUCCAGCCAUACCGCGUGGGUGAAGAAGGCCUUCGGGUUGUAAAGCCCUUUUGUUGGGAAAGAAAAGCAGCAGGUUCAGAAGCCGAUGUUCUGACGGUACCUAAAGAAUAAGCACCGGCUAACUUCGUG
RNAcentral lists this ribosomal RNA (492 nucleotides) under uncultured bacterium. Its description in RNAcentral is "partial 16S ribosomal RNA". It matches the Rfam family "Bacterial small subunit ribosomal RNA", at positions 29 to 507 of the family's 1533-position model. The record is from RNAcentral.